This 484-nucleotide ribosomal RNA is filed under the name uncultured bacterium. RNAcentral's name for it is "partial 16S ribosomal RNA". It matches the Rfam family "Bacterial small subunit ribosomal RNA", at positions 30 to 507 of the family's 1533-position model. The record is from RNAcentral.
AUUGAACGCUGGCGGCAGGCCUAACACAUGCAAGUCGAGCGGAUGAAGGGAGCUUGCUCCUGGAUUCAGCGGCGGACGGGUGAGUAAUGCCUAGGAAUCUGCCUGGUAGUGGGGGAUAACGUCCGGACACGGGCGCUAAUACCGCAUACGUCCUGAGGGAGAAAGUGGGGGAUCUUCGGACCUCACGCUAUCAGAUGAGCCUAGGUCGGAUUAGUUAGUUGGUGGGGUAAAGGCCUACCAAGGCGACGAUCCGUAACUGGUCUGAGAGGAUGAUCAGUCACACUGGAACUGAGACACGGUCCAGACUCCUACGGGAGGCAGCAGUGGGGAAUAUUGGACAAUGGGCGAAAGCCUGAUCCAGCCAUGCCGCGUGUGUGAAGAAGGUCUUCGGAUUGUAAAGCACUUUAAGUUGGGAGGAAGGGCAGUAAGUUAAUACCUUGCUGUUUUGACGUUACCAACAGAAUAAGCACCGGCUAACUUUGUG